Molecule: transfer RNA, 92 nt
Organism: Penicillium coprophilum
Lineage: Eukaryota; Fungi; Ascomycota; Eurotiomycetes; Eurotiales; Aspergillaceae
Rfam family: tRNA
About the family: Transfer RNA (tRNA) molecules are approximately 80 nucleotides in length. Their secondary structure includes four short double-helical elements and three loops (D, anti-codon, and T loops).
Source: Rfam
GCCCGGCUAGCUCAAUUGGCAGAGCGUGUGACUUUUAUCUGAUACCAUCACCUGAAAUCACAAGGUUCGGGGUUCGACCCCCCGGUCGGGCA